UCGAUUGAGUUUGAUCAUGGCUCAGAACGAACGCUGGCGGCGUGGAUAAGACAUGCAAGUCGAACGGGAUUACUUUUGUAGCAAUACAGAAGUAAUUCAGUGGCGAACGGGUGCGUAACACGUGGGCAAUCUGCCGAGAAGUGGGGGAUAGCUCGCCGAGAGGCGAAUUAAUACCGCAUGUGGUGAGUGAAGACAUCUUCACGAGUCCAAAGGUGCUGCAAGGUACCGCUUUUUGAGGAGCCCGCGGCCUAUCAGCUAGUUGGUGAGGUAAUGGCUCACCAAGGCUUUGACGGGUAGCUGGUCUGAGAGGACGACCAGUCACACUGGAACUGAGACACGGUCCAGACACCUACGGGUGGCAGCAGUCGAGAAUUUUUCUCAAUGGGGGAAACCCUGAAGGAGCGACGCCGCGUGGAGGAUGAAGGCUUUCGGGUUGUAAACUCCUGUCAUUUGAGAACAAGUGGCCGAAAAUUAACUACUUCGGCCUUGAUAGUAUCAGAAGAGGAAGGGACGGCUAACUCUGUGCCAGCAGCCGCGGUAAUACAGAGGUCUCAAGCGUUGUUCGGAUUCAUUGGGCGUAAAGGGUGCGUAGGUGGCGCCGUAAGUCAGGUGUGAAAUUUCGGAGCUUAACUCCGAAACUGCAUUUGAUACUGCGGUGCUUGAGGACUGGAGAGGAGACUGGAAUUUACGGUGUAGCAGUGAAAUGCGUAGAGAUCGUAAGGAAGA
This 726-nucleotide ribosomal RNA is filed under the name uncultured bacterium. RNAcentral describes it as "bacterial SSU rRNA". It matches the Rfam family "Bacterial small subunit ribosomal RNA", at positions 1 to 708 of the family's 1533-position model. The record is from RNAcentral.